Molecule: ribosomal RNA, 254 nt
Filed under: uncultured bacterium
Lineage: Bacteria
Description: partial 16S ribosomal RNA
Rfam family: Bacterial small subunit ribosomal RNA
Source: RNAcentral
UACGUAAGGUGCGAGCGUUGUCCGGAAUUAUUGGGCGUAAAGAGCUCGUAGGCGGUGUGUCACGUCGGCCGUGAAAACCUGCAGCUUAACUGUGGGCGUGCGGUCGAUACGGGCAUCACUGGAGUUCGGCAGGGGAGACUGGAAUUCCUGGUUCAGCGGUGAAAUGCGCAGAUAUCAGGAGGAACACCGGUGGCGAAGGCGGGUCUCUGGGCCGAUACUGACGCUGAGACGCGAAAGCGUGGGGAGCGAACAGG